This 485-nucleotide ribosomal RNA is filed under the name uncultured bacterium. RNAcentral's name for it is "partial 16S ribosomal RNA". It matches the Rfam family "Bacterial small subunit ribosomal RNA", at positions 27 to 507 of the family's 1533-position model. The record is from RNAcentral.
GAUUGACCGCUGGCGGCAGGCCUAACACAUGCACGUCGAGCGGAUGAAGGGAGCUUGCUCCUGGAUUCAGCGGCGGACGGGUGAGUAAUGCCUAGGAAUCUGCCUGGUAGUGGGGGAUAACGUCCGGAAACGGGCGCUAAUACCGCAUACGUCCUGAGGGAGAAAGUGGGGGAUCUUCGGACCUCACGCUAUCAGAUGAGCCUAGGUCGGAUUAGCUAGUUGGUGGGGUAAAGGCCUACCAAGGCGACGAUCCGUAACUGGUCUGAGAGGAUGAUCAGUCACACUGGAACUGAGACACGGUCCAGACUCCUACGGGAGGCAGCAGUGGGGAAUAUUGGACAAUGGGCGAAAGCCUGAUCCAGCCAUGCCGCGUGUGUGAAGAAGGUCUUCGGAUUGUAAAGCACUUUAAGUUGGGAGGAAGGGCAGUAAGUUAAUACCUUGCUGUUUUGACGUUACCAACAGAAUAAGCACCGGCUAACUUCGUG